This 432-nucleotide ribosomal RNA is filed under the name uncultured bacterium. RNAcentral describes it as "partial 16S ribosomal RNA". It matches the Rfam family "Bacterial small subunit ribosomal RNA", at positions 29 to 506 of the family's 1533-position model. The record is from RNAcentral.
AGCGAACGCUGGCGGCAGGCCUAACACAUGCAAGUCGAACGAACUCUUCGGAGUUAGUUGCGGACGGGUGAGUAACACGUGGGAACGUGCCUUUUGGUUCGGAAUAACUCAGGGAAACUUGUGCUAAUACCGAAUGUGCCCUUCGGGGGAAAGAUUUAUCGCCAUUAGAGCGGCCCGCGUCUGAUUAGCUAGUUGGUGAGGUAACGGCUCACCAAGGCGACGAUCAGUAGCUGGUCUGAGAGGAUGACCAGCCACACUGGGACUGAGACACGGCCCAGACUCCUACGGGAGGCAGCAGUGGGGAAUCUUGCGCAAUGGGCGAAAGCCUGACGCAGCCAUGCCGCGUGAAUGAUGAAGGUCUUAGGAUUGUAAAAUUCUUUCACCGGGGACGAUAAUGACGGUACCCGGAGAAGAAGCCCCGGCUAACUUCGU